CAAAGACUGCCCUGAAGACGAAUUAUCUUCUUGGGCUGAUGUAUUGGCUAGAUGGAGAGCAAACAAUGCUAAACCACGACAAUUGAACUCUCUAGUCAACAAGGUAUUCCGGAAGCCUUGAGAGGAGAGGUGUGGCAGAGACUAGCACAAAGUGAAAAUGAUGAUGCAACCAUGGAUACCUAUAGAAUACUUAUCACCCAAGAAAGCAGUUGCGAAAGUGUAAUUCAAAGAGACAUCAACCGUACUUUUCCUGCGAAUGAUUUUUCAAAGAAGCAGGAGGAAUGGGCCAAGACUCCCUGUAUAGGAUAUCUAAAGCAUAUGCUGUUCAUGAUUCUGAAGUUGGAUACUGCCAGGGACUUAGUUUUCUAGCAGCCACACUCCUUCUUCAUAUGCCAGAAGAGCAAGCGUUUGUGUGUUGGUGAAACUAAUGUAUGACUAUGGACUUAGAGACUUGUAUAAAGAUGGUUUUGAAAAUCUGUAUUUAAGACUUUACCAACUCAACCGAUUGAUAGAAGUAAGUUCUUUCAAGCCAUAUCCACUAGGUAGAUACUAACCUAAAUGGUUUGAGAAAUAAGAAUUUAAGAAUCAGUUUGCAUGCUAAUGUCUCUGUAAGU
RNAcentral lists this long non-coding RNA (614 nucleotides) under Bemisia tabaci. Its description in RNAcentral is "lncRNA ENSSSA3NGG011107". The record is from RNAcentral. Lineage: Eukaryota; Metazoa; Arthropoda; Insecta; Hemiptera; Aleyrodidae.